CGUUCCUUUCCUGUUUGUCCCUUUGCCAUUCCUCUCCUGUAUCGCCUUUCCACCGUGCUGUUCUUUCCCACUGUCACAGCCGCCCCAUAGCAGCACCGCCCCAUAGCAGCACCGCCCCAAAGCCUCACCGCCCCAAAGCAGCACCGCCCCAUAGCAGCACCGCCCCAAAGCCUCACCGCCCCAUAGCAGCACCGCCCCAAAGCCUCACUGCCCCAUAGCAGCACCGCCCCAUAGCAGCACCGCCCCAAAGCCUCACUGCCCCAUAGCAACACUGCCCCAUAGCAGCACCGUCCCAAAGCCUCACUGCCCCAUAGCAGCACCACCCCAAAGCCUCACCGCCCCAAAGCCUCACUGGCCCAUAGCAGCACCGCCCCAAAGCCUCACUGCCCCAUAGCAUCACUGCCCCAUAGCAGCACCGCCCCAAAGCCUCACCGCCCCAAAGCCUCACUGCCCCAUAGCAGCACCGCCCCAAAGCCUCACUGCCCCAUAGCAGCACCGCCCCAAAGCCUCACUGCCCCAUAGCAUCACUGCCCCAUAGCAGCACCGCCCCAAAGCCUCACUGCCCCAUAGCAGCACCGCCCCAUAGCAGCACCGCCCCAAAGCCUCACUGCCCCAUAGCAGCACUGCCCCAUAGCAUCACUGCCCCAAAGCCUCACUGCCCCGUAGCUGCACUGCCCCAUAGCAGCACCACUCCAUUGUGUCUCUACCCCAUAACGUUGCCCAAUAGUGUCACUGCCCCAUAGCAUCGCUGCCUGCAUGGGAACUGCUGAGUCCCAGCCUGACCCUCUGAUGGAUCACCUGGGAAAGGACCGCUCAGCACAGGCAGCAGAGGUGAAGGCGAUGCAGCUGUGCAGCAGGAAGGGUUUGAGCCUGGCUGCACUCCUCUUAGACCCCAUAGAAGAGCUGACAGCCACUGGGUGAGGAUUUCUGGUUGGGGAUCCCUCCUUGGCGGAGUUUUCCCCUGCGAUCGUGGAGUGUUCUGAAAGGGGUGAGCAAUCUGCUUCCCUUCCUCUAUUGCACCUCCUGUCUGUGUGAUGAAAUUGACAACAAACAAAACGCUUCAGUUUCUCUCUUGGGAUACGGGUCUUGAUUGAAAAACAGCACAGAAGAGAAGGGGUUGGACUGGAUGAUCUUGUAGGUCUUCUCCAACCCUGGUCAUUCUAUGAUUCUAUCAAGUGAUCAGCAGGACAUUGGAGAGGUGAUUUUGUCUUUAUUUUCCUGGCUGUAAAAUGCUGUUAUUUGGCCCUCUCCCAGCACACACACAACGUGCAGUUGAGGUCUCCCGUGCCUGGAAAGAGUUACAGAAUCAUAGAAUGGCUGAAGCUGAAGCUGAAGGGGUCCUUCAGGCCCAUGUGGUUCCAGCCCCCUGCUGUGGGCUGCUUGUCCCCCACCAGAUCAGGCUGCUCAGGGUCUCAUCCAGCCUGUCCUGGGAUGCUCCCGGAGGGGGG
Molecule: long non-coding RNA, 1448 nt
Filed under: Gallus gallus (chicken)
Lineage: Eukaryota; Metazoa; Chordata; Aves; Galliformes; Phasianidae
Description: lncRNA (ENSGALG00010003513.1)
Source: RNAcentral